GACGAACGCUGGCGGCGUGCUUAACACAUGCAAGUCGAACGGAAAGGCCCUGCUUUUGUUGGGUGCUCGAGUGGCGAACGGGUGAGUAACACGUGAGUAACCUGCCCUUGACUUUGGGAUAACUUCAGGAAACUGGGGCUAAUACCGGAUAGGAGCUCCUGCUGCAUGGUGGUGGUUGGAAAGUUUCGGCGGUUGUGGAUGGACUCGCGGCUUAUCAGCUUGUUGGUGGGGUAGUGGCUUACCAAGGCUUUGACGGGUAGCCGGCCUGAGAGGGUGACCGGCCACAUUGGGACUGAGAUACGGCCCAGAGUCCUACGGGAGGCAGCAGUGGGGAAUAUUGCACAAUGGGCGCAAGCCUGAUGCAGCAACGCCGCGUGCGGGAUGACGGCCUUCGGGUUGUAAACCGCUUUCGCCUGUGACGAAGCGUGAGUGACGGUAAUGGGUAAAGAAGCACCGGCUAACUACGUG
This 468-nucleotide ribosomal RNA is filed under the name uncultured bacterium. RNAcentral's name for it is "partial 16S ribosomal RNA". It matches the Rfam family "Bacterial small subunit ribosomal RNA", at positions 28 to 507 of the family's 1533-position model. The record is from RNAcentral.